This 465-nucleotide ribosomal RNA is filed under the name Vreelandella stevensii. RNAcentral describes it as "partial 16S ribosomal RNA". It matches the Rfam family "Bacterial small subunit ribosomal RNA", at positions 338 to 795 of the family's 1533-position model. Lineage: Bacteria; Pseudomonadati; Pseudomonadota; Gammaproteobacteria; Oceanospirillales; Halomonadaceae. The record is from RNAcentral.
CCUACGGGUGGCAGCAGUGGGGAAUAUUGGACAAUGGGCGAAAGCCUGAUCCAGCCAUGCCGCGUGUGUGAAGAAGGCCUUCGGGUUGUAAAGCACUUUCAGUGGGGAAGAAAGCCUUGGGGCUAAUACCCUCGAGGAAGGACAUCACCCACAGAAGAAGCACCGGCUAACUCCGUGCCAGCAGCCGCGGUAAUACGGAGGGUGCGAGCGUUAAUCGGAAUUACUGGGCGUAAAGCGCGCGUAGGCGGUCUGAUAAGCCGGUUGUGAAAGCCCCGGGCUCAACCUGGGAACGGCAUCCGGAACUGGCAGGCUAGAGUGCAGGAGAGGAAGGUAGAAUUCCCGGUGUAGCAGUGAAAUGCGUAGAGAUCGGGAGGAAUACCAGUGGCGAAGGCGGCCUUCUGGACUGACACUGACGCUGAGGUGCGAAAGCGUGGGUAGCAAACAGGAUUAGAUACCCUAGUAGUC